RNAcentral lists this ribosomal RNA (1359 nucleotides) under uncultured bacterium. Its description in RNAcentral is "bacterial SSU rRNA". It matches the Rfam family "Bacterial small subunit ribosomal RNA", at positions 28 to 1381 of the family's 1533-position model. The record is from RNAcentral.
GAUGAACGCUAGCUACAGGCUUAACACAUGCAAGUCGAGGGGCAGCAUGAAUAUUGGCUUGCCAAUAUUUGAUGGCGACCGGCGCACGGGUGAGUAACACGUAUCCAACCUUCCGGUUACUCGGGGAUAGGCUUUCGAAAGAAAGAUUAAUACCCGAUGUUGUGUAUCUUUCUCCUGAAAGAUACGCCAAAGGAUUCCGGUAACCGAUGGGGAUGCGUUCCAUUAGGCAGUUGGCGGGGUAACGGCCCACCAAACCUUCGAUGGAUAGGGGUUCUGAGAGGAAGGUCCCCCACAUUGGAACUGAGACACGGUCCAAACUCCUACGGGAGGCAGCAGUGAGGAAUAUUGGUCAAUGGACGGAAGUCUGAACCAGCCAAGUAGCGUGAAGGAUGACUGCCCUCUGGGUUGUAAACUUCUUUUAUACGGGAAUAACAUGAGGUACGCGUACCUUAUUGCAUGUACCGUUAUGAAUAAGCAUCGGCUAACUCCGUGCCAGCAGCCGCGGUAAUACGGAGGAUGCGAGCGUUAUCCGGAUUUAUUGGGUUUAAAGGGAGCGUAGGUGGGAUAUUAAGUCAGCUGUGAAAGUUUGGGGCUCAACCUUAAAAUUGCAGUUGAUACUGGUUUCCUUGAGUACGGUACAGGUGGGCGGAAUUCGUGGUGUAGCGGUGGAAUGCUUAGAUAUCACGAAGAACUCCGAUCGCGAAGGCAGCUCACCGGGCCGGAACUGACACUGAUGCUCGAAAGUGCGGGUAUCAAACAGGAUUAGAUACCCUGGUAGUCCGCACAGUAAACGAUGAAUACUCGCUGUUUGCGAUACACUGUAAGCGGCCAAGCGAAAGCGUUAAGUAUUCCACCUGGGGAGUACGCCGGCAACGGUGAAACUCAAAGGAAUUGACGGGGGCCCGCACAAGCGGAGGAACAUGUGGUUUAAUUCGAUGAUACGCGAGGAACCUUACCCGGGCUUAAAUUGCGCUGGCUUUUACCGGAAACGGUAUUUUCUUCGGACCAGCGUGAAGGUGCUGCAUGGUUGUCGUCAGCUCGUGCCGUGAGGUGUCGGCUUAAGUGCCAUAACGAGCGCAACCCUUAUCUUUAGUUACUAACAGUUUUGCUGAGGACUCUAAAGAGACUGCCGUCGUAAGAUGCGAGGAAGGUGGGGAUGACGUCAAAUCAGCACGGCCCUUACGUCCGGGGCUACACACGUGUUACAAUGGGGAGCACAGCAGGUUGCUACACGGCGACGUGAUGCCAAUCCGUAAAACUCCUCUCAGUUCGGAUCGAAGUCUGCAACCCGACUUCGUGAAGCUGGAUUCGCUAGUAAUCGCGCAUCAGCCACGGCGCGGUGAAUACGUUCCCGGGCCU